CUCCACUUGACUCACUUUUCAAACACAGCAGCAAAAUACCGAAGGCGUUCCUCUCAUUCUACUUAUUCACGAAAUCACCAAAAUGUGGAAGCUUAUCAUUUCCUCGAUGCUGGUUGCAUGCCUUCUUGCAAGCAGCCUCGAUGUUCCAUUCACUGAAGUCUCCAAUACAACUCAAAAAAAAAAUAGUGAUACAUGCUACCAAGUUGUCAUAAAUAAUCAUUGCCUGGAGUCAAUUUACGAUGCCUUUUGUUAUGAUGAGACUUAUGAUCCAGUAGGCGAUGGUUGUUGUUUUUAUUAUAUACAAAUUGCUGAAGAUUGCAUACCUAAAAUGGCUUCAGAUGCAAAAGCAUUGAAUCGUUGUGGCCAAGAAAUUGAUCAAAUUGAUGAAAGAGCUACAAAUCUUUAUCAAUUUUGUCUACGUAAUCUGUAAUUCACAAUUAGGUGACCCAAUGAUCAUAUAAGAAUGUUUUCUUUAUUCCCAAA
Molecule: long non-coding RNA, 483 nt
Organism: Salvia splendens (bonfire salvia)
Lineage: Eukaryota; Viridiplantae; Streptophyta; Magnoliopsida; Lamiales; Lamiaceae
Exons: 2
Source: RefSeq, a predicted model, not a curated record